UCAUCUUCGGGGGUAGAGCACUGUUUCGGCUAGGGGGUCAUCCCGACUUACCAACCCGAUGCAAACUACGAAUACCGAAGAAUGUUAUCACGGGAGACACACGGCGGGUGCUAACGUCCGUCGUGAAGAGGGAAACAACCCAGACCGCCAGCUAAGGUCCCAAAGUCAUGGUUAAGUGGGAAACGAUGUGGGAAGGCACAGACAGCCAGGAUGUUGGCUUAGAAGCAGCCAUCAUUUAAAGAAAGCGUAAUAGCUCACUGGUCGAGUCGGCCUGCGCGGAAGAUGUAACGGGGCUAAACCAUGCACCGAAGCUGCGGCAGCGACACUAUGUGUUGUUGGGUAGGGGAGCGUUCUGUAAGCCUGCGAAGGUGACCUGUGAGGGUUGCUGGAGGUAUCAGAAGUGCGAAUGCUGACAUAAGUAACGAUAAAGCGGGUGAAAAGCCCGCUCGCCGGAAGACCAAGGGUUCCUGUCCAACGUUAAUCGGGGCAGGGUGAGUCGACCCCUAAGGCGAGGCCGAAAGGCGUAGUCGAUGGGAAACAGGUUAAUAUUCCUGUACUUGGUGUUACUGCGAAGGGGGGACGGAGAAGGCUAUGUUAGCCGGGCGACGGUUGUCCCGGUUUAAGCAUGUAGGCUGGUUAUCCAGGCAAAUCCGGAUAAUCAAGGCUGAGGUGUGAUGACGAAGCACUACGGUGCUGAAGUAACAAAUGCCCUGCUUCCAGGAAAAGCCUCUAAGCAUCAGGUAACAUCAAAUCGUACCCCAAACCGACACAGGUGGUCAGGUAGAGAAUACCAAGGCGCUUGAGAGAACUCGGGUGAAGGAACUAGGCAAAAUGGUGCCGUAACUUCGGGAGAAGGCACGCUGGUGUGUAGGUGAAG
This 877-nucleotide ribosomal RNA is filed under the name Klebsiella quasipneumoniae subsp. similipneumoniae. Its description in RNAcentral is "partial 23S ribosomal RNA". It matches the Rfam family "Bacterial large subunit ribosomal RNA", at positions 890 to 1767 of the family's 2925-position model. The record is from RNAcentral. Lineage: Bacteria; Pseudomonadati; Pseudomonadota; Gammaproteobacteria; Enterobacterales; Enterobacteriaceae.